GGAGGGUGGAAGCGUUGUUCGGAAUUACUGGGCGUAAAGCGCGCGUAGGCGGUUUUAUAAGUCAGAUGUGAAAGCCCUCGGCUCAACCGGGGACGUGCAUUUGAAACUGUGAGACUUGAGUAUUGGAGGGGGUGGUGGAAUUCCCGGUGUAGAGGUGAAAUUCGUAGAUAUCGGGAGGAAUACCAGUGGCGAAGGCGACCACCUGGCCAAAUACUGACGCUCAUGUGCGAAAGCGUGGGGAGCAAACAGGAUUAGAUACCCUGGUAGUCCACGCCGUAAACGAUGUCAACUAGGUGUUGGGACGGUUAAUCGUCUCAUUGCCGCAGCUAACGCAUUAAGUUGACCGCCUGGGGAGUACGGUCUCAAGAUUA
RNAcentral lists this ribosomal RNA (371 nucleotides) under uncultured bacterium. RNAcentral describes it as "bacterial SSU rRNA". It matches the Rfam family "Bacterial small subunit ribosomal RNA", at positions 527 to 896 of the family's 1533-position model. The record is from RNAcentral.